RNAcentral lists this transfer RNA (69 nucleotides) under Cavia porcellus (domestic guinea pig). It matches the Rfam family "tRNA". Rfam says of the family: Transfer RNA (tRNA) molecules are approximately 80 nucleotides in length. Their secondary structure includes four short double-helical elements and three loops (D, anti-codon, and T loops). The record is from Rfam by way of RNAcentral. Lineage: Eukaryota; Metazoa; Chordata; Mammalia; Rodentia; Caviidae.
GGGGAUAUAGCUCAGCAGCACAGCACCUGCCUGGCAAGCAUGAGUCCCUGAGUUUGAUUCUCAGUACCA